AACGCGAAGAACCUUACCUGGGUUUGACAUGGAUCGGGAGCGCUCAGAGAUGGGUGUGCCUCUUUUGGGGUCGGUUCACAGGUGGUGCAUGGCUGUCGUCAGCUCGUGUCGUGAGAUGUUGGGUUAAGUCCCGCAACGAGCGCAACCCUUGUUCACUGUUGCCAGCACGUUAUGGUGGGGACUCAGUGGAGACCGCCGGGGUCAACUCGGAGGAAGGUGGGGAUGACGUCAAGUCAUCAUGCCCCUUAUGUCCAGGGCUUCACGCAUGCCACAAUGGCUGGUACAGAGAGUGGCGAGCCUGUGAGGGUGAGCGAAUCUCGGAAAGCCGGUCUCAGUUCGGAUUGGGGUCUGCAACUCGACCUCAUGAAGUCGGAGUCGCUAGUAAUCGCUAGUCAGAAUGUCGCGGUGAAUACGUUCCCGGGUCUUGUACACACGC
Molecule: ribosomal RNA, 436 nt
Filed under: uncultured Propionibacterium sp.
Lineage: Bacteria; Bacillati; Actinomycetota; Actinomycetes; Propionibacteriales; Propionibacteriaceae
Description: bacterial SSU rRNA
Rfam family: Bacterial small subunit ribosomal RNA
Source: RNAcentral